GGAGUUCUGAGUAAGGGCGUGCGGUGGAUGCCUUGACUCUAAAGGGCGAUGAAGGACGCGGCUUAGCUGCGAUACGCUUCGGGGAGGUGCUAUGCAACCUGCGAUCCGAAGAUUU
Molecule: ribosomal RNA, 115 nt
Filed under: bacterium
Lineage: Bacteria
Description: partial 23S ribosomal RNA
Rfam family: Bacterial large subunit ribosomal RNA
Source: RNAcentral